GUGAGGAGCCACACAGGGAGCAUGAGGAACAACUUUGGGAGUGGGGAGCAAAGGGCAUCUGGCCCAUGCAGUGCCAGAUGGCGCCCCAUGCAGGCGGUUGGCUGGGAGAGGAAACAGGCAGGCUGCAGAGGUUUUGAAGGCACCUCCAACCUUGUUAUUCAGUGGCCCAGCUUCUGGUUGCUGCCCUCCUCCCUUACUCCCCAGGCCCCCAGGUCUGGGCAGCACUCCCACAGCCAAAGUGGAUGUGUGCGGGAAAAGUUCACCAGGAACCUGUCGGGUUUGCUGGGGUGUGUGUGUGUGGGGGGGGAGAUAGCUCUCCAGUGGGAAACUAAGAACCUGAACCCACCGGUCCCUGUCCCCCCCCCCCCCCAGCAGAAGUCUGUAUAGUCUGAUAGAUGGUAAAAGGUAAUCCAGGGUUCAAAGCAGAGUAGGGGAUGACGAGUAGUCCCCAGAAACAUGGCUGGACACUGGCAGAAGAUAAUCUUACUACAAUCUCACAUCCUCCAGGAACUUUGUGUGCCUUGGAGGUGGAUGCAGAACCAAGGUAGAGUUGGAGCCCUGCCUUUGCACACCCACUCCCCUCAACCCCCCAGCACUGUCAUGGGUGCAGACCCCUAGGGUGGAGACUGACAACCCCAGGCAGCGCUGAGUUCCUGCAGCCCAAUGCUCACCACUAGCUGUGCCUAUUCGCCACCCACACCCCCUAGUUCCCACUGGGAAAUAGACCUGGCACCUUUUGAUGACACCUGCUAGGUCAGGCAAGUCACAGAAGGUUGAGGGACAAUGGAAUGUCCUUGGAAUGAGCCUUGGCUCUCAUAAAACAAGCAAAGGGGGCUGGAGAGACAGCAGAAUGAUUAUACAAAAGACUUCCAUGCCUGAGGCUCUGAGGUCCCAGGUUCUGUCCCCAGCACCUCUAUAAGCCAGAGCUGAGCAGUGUUCUGGUAUCUCUCUCUCUCUAUAUAUAUAUAUAUAUGUGUGUGUGUGUGUGUGUGUGUCUGUCUGUCUAUCUGUAUCUUUCUCAUUAAAAAUAUAUGAAUAGUAAAAUAAACACUGUAUUUAAAAAAAAAAAAGCAAAGGAUGAGAAAGUGCCUUCCUCAUGUUGCUGCCAUUCUAUAUGAAGCCUGGCAGAAUUCAAAGGUAUCAGAGGGGGCUGAGAAGUGGUUUCUGUGCAAUGCCUACUCAGUGCCCACAAGUGCUACUCCCACCCAGGCGGUACAGAAUGCAAUGGCUGCUUGCUUCAUUAACCCUGUCUCCCUCAUCACCCCCCCCCCCCACCGGGCAACCAAGACCCCUUUGUAAAGGUUGGAGCAGCAGAGACUGACUCUCAGGAGCUGUGGCUUGGUAAAGCUUCUUGGGUGAGAAGCAGAGGAUGGAGGCAGAAGGGGGCUCAGACACCAGAAAAGGUCACCUUCCACUGGAGCUUUGAGGAGGAGUCUUUCUUUCUAAUCAAGAAAUGCACCACAGAGGAAAAUGGCAGAUACGUGUUUACUGCUUUUCAUUUCCCUCCUUGCCUCUUUUGUAAAUACCUUCUUCCAAGCUGGAAAAUAAAUCUCAAAUCCUGUUGA
This is a long non-coding RNA of Erinaceus europaeus (western European hedgehog), 1565 nucleotides long. RefSeq lists it as uncharacterized. The transcript has 2 exons. Lineage: Eukaryota; Metazoa; Chordata; Mammalia; Eulipotyphla; Erinaceidae. The record is from RefSeq and is a predicted model, not a curated record.